AUUGAACGCUGGCGGCAGGCCUAACACAUGCAAGUCGAGCGGAUGAAGGGAGCUUGCUCCUGGAUUCAGCGGCGGACGGGUGAGUAAUGCCUAGGAAUCUGCUUGGUAGUGGGGGAUAACGUCUGGAAACGGGCGCUAAUACCGCAUACUUCCUGAGGGAGAAAGUGGGGGAUCUUCGGACCUCACGCUAUCAGAUGAGCCUAGGUCGGAGUAGCUAGUUGGUGGGGUAAGGGCCUACCAAGGCGACGAUCCGUAACUGGUCUGUGAGGAUGAUUAGUCACACUGGAACUGAGACACGGUCAAGACUCCUACGGGAGGCAGCAGUGGGGAAUAUUGGACAGUGGGCGAAAGCCUGAUCCAGCCAUGCCGAGUGUGUGACGAAGGUCUUCGGAUUGUAAAGAACUUUAAGUUGGGAGAAAGGGCAGUAAGUUAAUACCUUGCUGUUUUGACGUUACCAACAGAAUAAGCACCGGCUAACUACGUG
Molecule: ribosomal RNA, 484 nt
Filed under: uncultured bacterium
Lineage: Bacteria
Description: partial 16S ribosomal RNA
Rfam family: Bacterial small subunit ribosomal RNA
Source: RNAcentral